RNAcentral lists this ribosomal RNA (120 nucleotides) under uncultured bacterium. RNAcentral describes it as "partial 16S ribosomal RNA". It matches the Rfam family "Bacterial small subunit ribosomal RNA", at positions 120 to 231 of the family's 1533-position model. The record is from RNAcentral.
UGGGCAACCUGCCCUCAGCUCUGGGAUAACUCCAAGAAAUUGGGGCUAAUACCGGAUAUGACCGCUGACCGCAUGGUCUGGUGGUGGAAAGAUUUUAUCGGCUGGGGAUGGGCCNCGGCG